UACGGGGGGAGCAAGCGUUGUUCGGAUUUACUGGGCGUAAAGGGCGCGUAGGCGGUAGCACAAGUCAGUUGUGAAAUCUCCGGGCUUAACUCGGAAAGGUCAACUGAUACUGUGCGACUAGAGUGCAGAAGGGGCAACUGGAAUUCUCGGUGUAGCGGUGAAAUGCGUAGAUAUCGAGAGGAACACCUGAGGCGAAGGCGGGCUACUGGGCCGGCAUUGACGCUGAGGCGCGAAAGCUAGGGGAGCAAACGGG
Molecule: ribosomal RNA, 253 nt
Filed under: uncultured bacterium
Lineage: Bacteria
Description: partial 16S ribosomal RNA
Rfam family: Bacterial small subunit ribosomal RNA
Source: RNAcentral